AUGUCAAAAUGACACUUUUUGAUCAGUUGCUUAUAUCUUUCCCAAGCUUCAUUGAAGGAUUCACCUUCUUUCUGUCUGAAGGUUUGAAUAUCCACUCUAAGCUU
Arachis stenosperma is the source of this 104-nucleotide small nucleolar RNA. The record is from RefSeq and is a predicted model, not a curated record. NCBI's taxonomy places the organism in Eukaryota, Viridiplantae, Streptophyta, Magnoliopsida, Fabales, Fabaceae.